Molecule: ribosomal RNA, 1447 nt
Filed under: uncultured organism
Description: 16S ribosomal RNA
Rfam family: Bacterial small subunit ribosomal RNA
Source: RNAcentral
UGAACGCUAGCUACAGGCUUAACACAUGCAAGUCGAGGGGCAGCAUGGUCUUAGCUUGCUAAGGCCGAUGGCGACCGGCGCACGGGUGAGUAACACGUAUCCGACCUGCCGUCUACUCUUGGACAGCCUUCUGAAAGGAAGAUUAAUACAAGAUGGCAUCAUGAGUCCACAUGUUCACAUGAUUAAAGGUAUUCCGGUAGACGAUGGGGAUGCGUUCCAUUAGAUAGUAGGCGGGGUAGCGGCCCACCUAGUCUUCGAUGGAUAGGGGUUCUGAGAGGAAGGUCCCCCACAUUGGAACUGAGACACGGUCCAAACUCCUACGGGAGGCAGCAGUGAGGAAUAUUGGUCAAUGGGCGAGAGCCUGAACCAGCCAAGUAGCGUGAAGGAUGACUGCCCUAUGGGUUGUAAACUUCUUUUAUAAAGGAAUAAAGUCGGGUAUGCAUACCCGUUUGCAUGUACUUUAUGAAUAAGGAUCGGCUAACUCCGUGCCAGCAGCCGCGGUAAUACGGAGGAUCCGAGCGUUAUCCGGAUUUAUUGGGUUUAAAGGGAGCGUAGAUGGAUGUUUAAGUCAGUUGUGAAAGUUUGCGGCUCAACCGUAAAAUUGCAGUUGAUACUGGAUAUCUUGAGUGCAGUUGAGGCAGGCGGAAUUCGUGGUGUAGCGGUGAAAUGCUUAGAUAUCACGAAGAACUCCGAUUGCGAAGGCAGCCUGCUAAGCUGCAACUGACAUUGAGGCUCGAAAGUGUGGGUAUCAAACAGGAUUAGAUACCCUGGUAGUCCACACGGUAAACGAUGAAUACUCGCUGUUUGCGAUAUACUGCAAGCGGCCAAGCGAAAGCGUUAAGUAUUCCACCUGGGGAGUACGCCGGCAACGGUGAAACUCAAAGGAAUUGACGGGGGCCCGCACAAGCGGAGGAACAUGUGGUUUAAUUCGAUGAUACGCGAGGAACCUUACCCGGGCUUAAAUUGCAGAUGAAUUACGGUGAAAGCCGUAAGCCGCAAGGCAUCUGUGAAGGUGCUGCAUGGUUGUCGUCAGCUCGUGCCGUGAGGUGUCGGCUUAAGUGCCAUAACGAGCGCAACCCUUGUUGUCAGUUACUAACAGGUUCUGCUGAGGACUCUGACAAGACUGCCAUCGUAAGAUGUGAGGAAGGUGGGGAUGACGUCAAAUCAGCACGGCCCUUACGUCCGGGGCUACACACGUGUUACAAUGGGGGGUACAGAGGGCCGCUACCACGCGAGUGGAUGCCAAUCCCAAAAACCUCUCUCAGUUCGGACUGGAGUCCGCAACCCGACUCCACGAAGCUGGAUUCGCUAGUAAUCGCGCAUCAGCCACGGCGCGGUGAAUACGUUCCCGGGCCUUGUACACACCGCCCGUCAAGCCAUGGGAGCCGGGGGUACCUGAAGUGCGUAACCGCGAGGAGCGCCCUAGGGUAAAACUAGUGACUGGGGC